Molecule: long non-coding RNA, 647 nt
Organism: Nicotiana tabacum (common tobacco)
Lineage: Eukaryota; Viridiplantae; Streptophyta; Magnoliopsida; Solanales; Solanaceae
Source: RefSeq, a predicted model, not a curated record
AUCGUAAACCUUCCCCUUUCCUGAUAGAGAGAAACAAUGUUGCUCUCUGCCCUCUUCAACAUAGACAAAAAUGGACUCCUCCCCUCUCAUAGAGAACAAUCAGAAACGACCCACCCCCUCUUCUCCCUCUUCACUUUCACAUACACCCAGGAUAAUAGCAGCUGCAAAAUACCAACAAAAAGAAAAACCAGAUCCACAAAAUCAAAAGCUAAAAAUAGGAAGAAAAAAUUAGAAUUUUCAAUGGAGAUUUGAAGAACUGAUUUCAAAUCUUGAUUUCCUCUAUUUUUGGGUCUCUGAAAGUUGUUCUGGACUUGAAUUUGCCGUUCGAUUCUCUCUGACUUUGCUGUUUGCUGGAACCGUUACUGAGCUUCGUCCUCAUUAUUUUUCGCCUAGCAGAUCCAGGUGUGGAUCGUUAGUAGUUGUGCGUAUCAUUGCUGAGGAGACUCAAGGUAAACCUGUUGCUGCGUUCGCAGGCUUCAGAGUCACCUUCUUACUUGUAUUCAACUGUUUUCACUCUUUUCCAAAUAGUUUAUAUAGAAGUGGUAGCUAACUCUGUAGAGCUUAUGACUUGCACUAUCGGGUUUUGGGAAUAUGCUCAUUGUAUAAAAGAUUCAUUCCAGAAAAAAAAUUUAAGUUGUUAUUUAUUA